This 444-nucleotide ribosomal RNA is filed under the name uncultured Thiobacillus sp. RNAcentral describes it as "bacterial SSU rRNA". It matches the Rfam family "Bacterial small subunit ribosomal RNA", at positions 933 to 1382 of the family's 1533-position model. The record is from RNAcentral. Lineage: Bacteria; Pseudomonadati; Pseudomonadota; Betaproteobacteria; Nitrosomonadales; Thiobacillaceae.
UGGAUGAUGUGGAUUAAUUCGAUGCAACGCGAAGAACCUUACCUACCUUGACAUGCCCGGAACUUGCCAGAGAUGGCUUGGUGCCCGAAAGGGAAUCGGAACACAGGUGCUGCAUGGCUGUCGUCAGCUCGUGUCGUGAGAUGUUGGGUUAAGUCCCGCAACGAGCGCAACCCUUAUCAUUAGUUGCUACGCAAGGGCACUCUAAUGAGACUGCCGGUGACAAACCGGAGGAAGGUGGGGAUGACGUCAAGUCCUCAUGGCCCUUAUGGGUAGGGCUUCACACGUCAUACAAUGGUCGGUACAGAGGGUUGCCAAGCCGCGAGGCGGAGCCAAUCCCACAAAGCCGAUCGUAGUCCGGAUUGUUCUCUGCAACUCGAGAGCAUGAAGUCGGAAUCGCUAGUAAUCGCAGGUCAGCAUACUGCGGUGAAUACGUUCCCGGGUCUU